CGAGUGAGGGCCCUCUGGGUCCAACCUCCCACCCGUGUUUAUUUUACCUUGUUGCUUCGGCGGGCCCGCCUUAACUGGCCGCCGGGGGGCUUACGCCCCCGGGCCCGCGCCCGCCGAAGACACCCUCGAACUCUGUCUGAAGAUUGUAGUCUGAGUGAAAAUAUAAAUUAUUUAAAACUUUCAACAACGGAUCUCUUGGUUCCGGCAUCGAUGAAGAACGCAGCGAAAUGCGAUACGUAAUGUGAAUUGCAAAUUCAGUGAAUCAUCGAGUCUUUGAACGCACAUUGCGCCCCCUGGUAUUCCGGGGGGCAUGCCUGUCCGAGCGUCAUUGCUGCCCUCAAGCACGGCUUGUGUGUUGGGCCCCGUCCUCCGAUCCCGGGGGACGGGCCCGAAAGGCAGCGGCGGCACCGCGUCCGGUCCUCGAGCGUAUGGGGCUUUGUCACCCGCUCUGUAGGCCCGGCCGGCGCUUGCCGAUCAACCCGAAUUUUUAUCCAGGUUGACCUCGGAUCAGGUAGGGAUACCCGCUGAACUUAAGCAUAUCAAUA
This 545-nucleotide ribosomal RNA is filed under the name Penicillium sp. E8420a. RNAcentral describes it as "eukaryotic LSU rRNA". The stretch from base 176 to 328 matches the Rfam family "5.8S ribosomal RNA". The record is from RNAcentral. Lineage: Eukaryota; Fungi; Ascomycota; Eurotiomycetes; Eurotiales; Aspergillaceae.